RNAcentral lists this ribosomal RNA (253 nucleotides) under uncultured bacterium. Its description in RNAcentral is "partial 16S ribosomal RNA". It matches the Rfam family "Bacterial small subunit ribosomal RNA", at positions 524 to 776 of the family's 1533-position model. The record is from RNAcentral.
UACGAAGGGGGCUAGCGUUGUUCGGAAUUACUGGGCGUAAAGCGCACGUAGGCGGCUUGGUAAGUUGGGGGUGAAAUCCCGGGGCUCAACCUCGGAAUUGCCUUCAAAACUGCCAAGCUUGAGUUCGAGAGAGGUGAGUGGAAUUCCCAGUGUAGAGGUGAAAUUCGUAGAGAUUGGGAAGAACACCAGUGGCGAAGGCGGCUCACUGGCUCGAUACUGACGCUGAGGUGCGAAAGCGUGGGGAGCAAACAGG